UACUAGCCCAGAUAGUAGUGAAAAUCCUUAUGAGCCGGGGUUCGGCGAUUAAGAUUGAAACGAAUAGCUGGAAGUAGC
Molecule: small RNA, 78 nt
Filed under: Flavobacterium sinopsychrotolerans
Lineage: Bacteria; Pseudomonadati; Bacteroidota; Flavobacteriia; Flavobacteriales; Flavobacteriaceae
Description: Flavo-1 RNA
Rfam family: Flavo-1 RNA
Source: RNAcentral